UAAACACUUACUUGAUGUUGGGGUAGAAGUUAACGUUGAUUUGAUCAAGGUUGAUGAAAAUUUCACUUUUGAGGGCUCAAAAUCGCACAUGGAUGUUUUAGAAAUGAAAUGGCAUAAUGAUUGUUGUUCUGAUGUAUAGCAUAACACAACGUGAUUAGGGACUUUGAGGUGGGAAUGAGCAAAAUAAUCAAUUUUUUUAGAAUAAUUAGUGUGUUUAAUGAAAUAUUAAGUGUGACUUGAUUGUGAG
This 247-nucleotide long non-coding RNA is filed under the name Medicago truncatula (barrel medic). Its description in RNAcentral is "long non-coding RNA (MTRU_LNC002954)". The record is from RNAcentral. Lineage: Eukaryota; Viridiplantae; Streptophyta; Magnoliopsida; Fabales; Fabaceae.